AAUAGAUUUUAGUACUUUUAAGAAUAUGGAAGUUUGGUGCAAAUCCAACGCGGUCCCGCCACUGUAAUUAGGUCUUACCUUUAAGUCAGGUCUUUAUUCUUGAAUUUUAGUAGAUUUCACGUCUCGAUGUAAGGCGAUGAUGUCAUAU
This 148-nucleotide small RNA is filed under the name Streptococcus sp. The record is from RNAcentral. RNAcentral also lists the same sequence under 1 other name. Lineage: Bacteria; Bacillati; Bacillota; Bacilli; Lactobacillales; Streptococcaceae.